Molecule: ribosomal RNA, 254 nt
Filed under: uncultured bacterium
Lineage: Bacteria
Description: partial 16S ribosomal RNA
Rfam family: Bacterial small subunit ribosomal RNA
Source: RNAcentral
UACGAAGGGGGCUAGCGUUGCUCGGCAUCACUGGGCGUAAAGCGCACGUAGGCGGGUUGCCAAGUCGGGGGUGAACUCCUGGAGCUCAACUCCAGAACUGCCUUCGAUACUGGCGAUCUUGGAGUCCGGGAGAGGUGAGUGGAACUGCGAGUGGAGAGGUGAAAUGCGUAGAUAUUCGCAAGAACACCAGUGGCGAAGGCGGCUCACGGGCCCGGUACUGACGCUGAGGUGCGAAAGCGUGGGGAGCAAACAGG